This 492-nucleotide ribosomal RNA is filed under the name uncultured bacterium. Its description in RNAcentral is "partial 16S ribosomal RNA". It matches the Rfam family "Bacterial small subunit ribosomal RNA", at positions 29 to 507 of the family's 1533-position model. The record is from RNAcentral.
AGUGAACGCUGGCGGUAGGCCUAACACAUGCAAGUCGAACGGCAGCACAGUAAGAGCUUGCUCUUACGGGUGGCGAGUGGCGGACGGGUGAGGAAUACGUCGGAAUCUACUUUUUCGUGGGGGAUAACGUAGGGAAACUUACGCUAAUACCGCAUACGACCUACGGGUGAAAGCAGGGGAUCUUCGGACCUUGCGCGAUUGAAUGAGCCGAUGUCGGAUUAGCUAGUUGGCGGGGUAAAGGCCCACCAAGGCGACGAUCCGUAGCUGGUCUGAGAGGAUGAUCAGCCACACUGGAACUGAGACACGGUCCAGACUCCUACGGGAGGCAGCAGUGGGGAAUAUUGGACAAUGGGCGCAGGCCUGAUCCAGCCAUACCGCGUGGGUGAAGAAGGCCUUCGGGUUGUAAAGCCCUUUUGUUGGUAAAGAAAAGCAGCAGGUUAAUACCCCGCUGUUCUGACGGUACCCAAAGAAUAAGCACCGGCUAACUUCGUG